Felis catus (domestic cat) is the source of this 4375-nucleotide long non-coding RNA. RefSeq lists it as uncharacterized. The transcript has 3 exons. The record is from RefSeq and is a predicted model, not a curated record. NCBI's taxonomy places the organism in Eukaryota, Metazoa, Chordata, Mammalia, Carnivora, Felidae.
AAUAAUAAUAAUAGCUCUUAUCCCACAGUGUUAAGGUAUAAAAUAAAAGAGGUGCCUGGCAUAUAAUAAUUAUCACAUAUGCAUAAUAAUAUUCUAAUGAAAAUAUUAUUAUUUUGUCGGUUUCUUUGAGGAGCUACGGGCCCAUAUCGGAGGACCUGCUCUAUGGAUGUGGUGUAGGAGUGCAGCCGCCUUGACAGGCCCCCUUUGCAACAGGACGACCACCCUCCCGCUGUCUGCUUCCUCGCCCGCUUCCCUUUUAGCGAUUAAUGAAUAUGCAUCUCAUUGCCUGCUGAUGUAUUAUGCGCAUCUCAUUAAACUCCGAAGGCUCCACCAGCCUUUAGGGACCGGGUCUUAAGGACAUCCGUAAUGGCCUUCUGCCUGGGAUUUGAGUUUGUGGUUACUCUUCCUGCCCGGGCUGAGCAAUGUCAGGUCAUGGAUUUCUAAAAUAAGAUCGCAAAUUGAUCUAUGAAAUUCAGGUGAGAAUAUGUCUCCCCCACCCCCCAAAAUCAGAUCUAGCCCUGAGCUCCCGCUUACUAUUCUCAGCACAAGCCUUUAACUGCAGUCAUGGUUUCCUGGUCGGGAAGUAGGGAAGAGCCCCCCCCCCCUUCCUUUGCUUUGUGUCGACGUUGCACUGCUAAAGCACGUCAGGAAAACGGGGGUGGAGACAGUAUCGUCAUCUGUGUGUCCUCACUUCACCCCUGCCCUGGACGCCCUCAACGCAUGUGGAACCGCAAGGAAUCCACGGCCACCAUCUCUUCUCAGCUUUGGGGACCAACACUCCAGGUGGGACCGUUCUCCCCUCUUUGCUCCAGAUGCCAAAGCCUGCCUUCCUUUCCACUGCUGGGAGGUCCUGGACCUUUCAGAACAGCAGCCUGCUUAAGAGAGUUUCCCAAGUGACUCUCCCAUACCCCCCUUCUUCCUUCUCUGCCCUGAAACAGGAAGUUUGUUAACCAGACACCUGGGGGUAAAGAGAGCCUGGGCUUCGGGAGGAGUCCUCAGAUAAUCUUCCUAGAAGGUGGCAGAGGAAGGGGAUGUUCCUUUUAUUCUAAUCUGGGCUGGAGCGAGGACCUCAGUUUCUCAGUAGCGCACCUGUUGUGCAUUCGUAAGAGCUGGAUCAAACUUGAGACAGCAUUUGUCCCCACCAUUCCGCUUUUCUGAGUGGUCAAAUAAGAAGCUCCAAGAGAAGAAAGGGGGUUACGUAGUGACUUCCAGGGAACCCAAAUAUGCCCCACACUGUUAAGCUACCAAGUAGAACGGUAGAAGGCAAGGCCCUGCCUUCAGAGAUGUGACAUGUUCACGUGGAAAGAACAGGGCAGUGUACCUGAUUUCCUGCUCUCCACCUUCCAGAAAUAUGGCAUUUCCUGGCUCCUUUGGGUUUGGGUGGGAUGCUGUGAUUCAGUGGCUGAGGAGUUGUGAGGAGAAGUGUGUCAUUUUCCAAAGCAAUUAAUUAGCUGUGGGCGACCCUCACUGCCCCCACUGCCACAAUAUCCAGGAAUGUUCCAGACAGCAGCCAUUCAGCAUGCUUGGGUCCCAGGAGGAGGCCAGUGCAGAGCAGAGCCCCAGCUGACCUGCAGUGGAUAUGUGGUGUAAGCAUGGAACGAAUCCUUGUUGUAGGCUGUUGAAAUUCAGGAGUUGCUUGUCCCCGCAGCAUAACCUUGCCUAUCCUGACUAGGUUGCCCAACAAAGAGGCUGACCAUGAUGAGAGCAGAAAGAGCGAGGGGCUUUUAAAAAAGGGUGAAAUUAUUAGCAUCAAUGAGAACCAUUUGAGUGGAGUGAUGGGAACAGAAGCCAAAUUUAGAGGCUCGAGGGAGAAGAGAUGGCUUUGCCAACAUCAAGUCCCCCGUCAGCACAUUUGCGCUAGAGAUAGAAGCAACAGGGAUGUGUCGUUCAGUCAAGGAGUGACCCUGGAGCCACCCACUCUAUUGAAUGUCUUUUACUUUUUCUGCCCCCUUCCUUGAACUCCUGAUACUCCUAGUAUUAGUGGGCCGUAUGCACAGGCCUUAGUUCAGUAUUUCUGACGAUUCAUAGGACAGCUUCUGUAUACACCCAACACACACAGAGAAAAAUAGAGUAGCAUAAUGAACUGUUUUAGAGCUUGAAAAUGCCCAACCCAGAAGCCACACAUCUCUGCUCCUAAAUUUUCUCCGAGGUCUGAUCAUCUUACCGGACCAGCCCCUUUUGCUUUGGAAGCUUUCUAUCACAGUGCCAUUCAAUACCAGUCCCUAGAAUUGAGUUUUUAUCCCCUGAGAACCCGGGUCCACUCACAAAAAAAAAAAAAAAAAAAAAAAAAACCAUGAAGACCGGCAGAAAAAUCUAGUUUUCUGUUUUUCUACCCUCUCUUCAACAGCUCAGAGUUCCUUGUAUUUCUCUGAUGUCCCAGUGGGAGUAAAUGUUAAUGGUUUUGAAGGAGAUCUGAAGAUAACAAUUUGAAAGUGAGGAAACAUAACACUGAAAUGCUGUCAACUCAGCUAAUUUUAAGGACAAAUAAAACACAAGGUACAGAUAGUCAUGGCACAGGUCGUGCCCCAUCCGACCCCGGAGGCGGUUGCACACUGCCCCAGACCCAACUCAGAGUUCAGAAGGGAAGUAAGAACGUCUCACCCCUCCCCUGAGGACUGAUUUUCUUUGCCCAUUCUGGCUGCCAUAAUAAAGUACCAGAAACUAGUCGAUGAUACGCGACAGAAAUUCAUUUCCCACAAUUCUGGGAAGCCUAAGAUCAACGCACUGGCAGAUUUGGUGUUUAGUGAGAGAGCCCACUUUCUGGUUCCUAGAAGGCACCUUUCCACUGUGUCCUCAUGUGGUGGAGGGUGUCAGGAAGCUCUGGGGGGUCUCUUUGUUAGGGGCACUGAUCCCAUUCACGACCCCCAUUCACCCUCAUGACCUAAGUGCAUCCCAAAGGCCCCACCUCCUAAUCCCAUCACACUGGGGAUGAGGAUUUUAACAUGUAAAUUUUAGGAGAACACAAACAUUAAGGCCAUGGCAUGUAUCUAAACCAAUUUGAUGCUUGUAUUUGUCAGAUUACUUUAGUAAACAGCAGUAGAGCCUUCAGCCAUAUAGCCCCACAACUUUGCCGGCAGGUAGUAUGUGACAAUGUAAGCAGGCCACGGGCAACAUUUAUUAGCAACCUCAUUAGCAAGAAUAAAAGUCAUCUUUCAACAUGCUCUGUAAGUUCAAUGAAUUCCCCACUCUCUGUCCCUACUCUCCAACCACCACUGUUACUAGAACAUUCAUUCCAAGGCAAACACAGCAAUGUUUUGUCAGCAGGAUCCACCUCACCUUCUAGUCAGAUCUGGAGACAGAGUUCUCUGUUAGUUAUAGGGGAUCCAGGUCCUAGAGUCUAGUUCCAUAGCUGGAUGUCCUGGGUUUACUUAUUUUUAAGCUCCUUCACGAAAAGGUGGUAAAGCCUAUAAAGUCUUACCAGCCAAGCACGUGUCUUGAACACAUUUCACCAUCCACUUCUAACCCCUCUCAUGUUUGGGCUUUCCUGCCCCUCACGAAUAUCCCGCCCUUCAGAUGGAGAGCCAGUUCCUCCAAUGCCACACGUUAGGACAUGUAAUUGUGUCCUUCCUGGCCAUGGAUAUGGCUUUGCACCAAGUGGUCCACGCGACCAUGGGACAUGCGACUUGAAUUUGUAAGGCAGGACCCAGGGUCUAGUCCCAGCCUGCCUCAGAGCACAAGGGCACUGACUAGGUGCCCCCCUCCCCCGCCCCACCACACACACACACACACACACACACACACAAAAGCCAGACUCAGCCCCAGUCAUGUGGCUCUUCUCUGACCCACUGAGCACUCCACCCCACUUACCCACAGUCACAAAGCCUGGUCCGGGGGCCCCAUGAACUGGUACACGGAACCCCCAAACCUAACCCCUGUUGCUGCUGCAAACUGGCUCCCUCUCCAAGGGUACGGAGCUUUGUACCCUUAUCACACCACCUACCUUAUGCUAUUAAUACCCAGGGCCGUGCCACCAGCUUAUUAAUAAUGUAUAGCUACAGCCCCUGACUUAGUCAAGCUACAAACAGCCCUUAUUUGCAUGAUUAGCUCUUACCUUACUGAUUAGGAAGUUUCAUCCUGCCCCCAAAACCUACCCUUUCUGAAUGAACGUCUCUUUUAAAGGGAGCCAGGCUUUCUAAAAUGCAUCUCAAAUCCAAAUAAAAAAGAAUCAACAGCAACAACAACAAAGAGAGGCCUGUUGUUUUCCUUAUGGAAUGAGAAGAGAGGAGCUUAAGAAGGUUUUUAAAUGUUCAGCGCCAUGCUUAUCGAAGGAGCUAAAAGUAUCUAUGGCUGUCAAGGGGCACCUGGGGGAUAAAAGGUUGUCCUAGGGCACCUGGGUGGCUCAGUCGGUUAAGCGUCUGACUUAAGCACAGGUCAU